AAGGCUACUGCUGUUGGCGGUGCUGCUUUGGAAUAUGGAUGUGUUGCAAUUUCAAGAAAAGGAGAAAGAUUGGCAGCCAUCAGUGUUUUAGCUGAUUAUAUUCUUACCGUGUGGGAUAUUCCAAACUUGGA
RNAcentral lists this non-coding RNA (131 nucleotides) under Pteridomonas danica. Lineage: Eukaryota; Dictyochophyceae; Pedinellales. The record is from RNAcentral.